GGUUUCAGGUUACAGAGCUCGGAAAAUAAAAAACACACAGCAUAAAAUAGGAAGAGAACAAAGCAGAGACUUAACUCGUCUCGCAUAUAUUCUGUACAACAUUAGAUCAUUCAAGAACAUAUCCUACCUUUGCAUGAUCUAACCACGCUCAACUCAGACAACUGAGAGAGAACACAGGAGAGACUUAACUCGACUCACAUGAGCUCUGUACAGGUUCAGAUCACUCAAAGUAGCUCUCAUUCUAGAACAUGUAAUAACUGUGCGUGAUCUAACCAUGCUUAAAGUGCUCCUAACACAAAAAUGGAUUUUAGACAUUUAGAUUCUCAUUGGCAGUAUAUAUGAUAUUCGAAAACCGAAUCGCAAUAGCGAUUUUAGUUUAGAAGUUAUUCCCGUUUAAACAUGGUAUUUGCGAUGUAAUAAAAUAAAAACCGCGCAAAAGGGAUUGGUGCGAAAUCGAUGUUGUGAUGUCACAAUAGGAACCGGUCUAGGUCAUUCAUGCGAAAAACAUUAUAACGUGUAUUAUUCACUGAAGGCGACAGCGCAAAAAAUGCACGCAAAUUGAAAAUAUGCCGAGUAUAUGUAUUGUAGGUGGUUGCUCUAAUGUAUCCAAUGCGGGAAAAGGAAUCUCGCUGCAUUUUAUACCGUUUUCUGGCGACGAAAGGCCAGAAACUAAAAAGAGACGCAAGCAAAAGAUAGACCUCGUGCGCUUGAAACGAGCCAAAUGGGAUCCAACUCCCAGUUUAAGUAUUUGUUCGGUUCACUUUGCCAAGGAAGAUUUUACGGAAAUUUUUUCUAGUAUCUUCGGCAAAGUACCAAGGUUAGCCACCGUUGAAAUUGGGAUAGUUGCAAUUCCAAAGUUGCGUCGCCGGAAUGCAAACCUACUUCUGCGAGGGACAAAAGAAUGGUAAAUACUCUUUCGUUGCAUUUAUAUUAUAUGAUUUGUGAUUAUAUUGCUGUGGGAUUUUUAUUUCUUGAUGGUUUCAAUAUAGGCUAUGCUUAUGGAGGCUGGCUUUUAGAUCGAAUAUUUCUAUUUUCAAUAACGUGAAUGUUUUGGUCGAAAACCUGAUUGAUACCCAGACAAAAGAUUGUUAUCAAUUAAAUAAUAAUAUAGUUGUUCAAAUACUGUUUUCUCAAAGAUCUUACUACAGAUAAAAUAGAAGUUGCUCGAUAAUUCUAACAUUUACGUCUAUCGUCUGAUUUGUGAAUAGGUGUUACUCGUGCAAUCUUCCAGUCAUCUACAAAGAUUCCUGUUUUGAUUAAAAGAUUGAAAAUAUAGGUCAAAGAUGGAGCUAUGAUUGUCGAGGCAAUCUUUAGUGAUGCUUCGAGGCAAUAAAAACAGUGUUUCGACAGAGACAGGUGGUUGCGUUGGACGUGCUUACUUGCUAAAGGAAAAGAGGAAAACGUGGAACAAAUAUGUCACGCUUAAAGCCAGAAAUAUGAUGAAAUGGCUAAAGCGAAACGUUCCAAAGGUGUGCAGUGUAAGAUUAUAAGCGAAGCAGAGUGUGGUCGUAAGGAUGCUGAAAUGCUACCAUGUGGCAUUCCAACCGGUACUGACACGAAAUCCACUGCUGAAUGCACAGAUGAUGAAAUGGAUAGCAUUUCGAGUACAGGAGAAUUCCAUUCGGAAGAAGGACUUUCACUAGUCCUGGAAGAAGAUAUUUUAGUGUCCGGAGGAUCUCCCACCAAGGUCAUCAAUAUGUUUAUGGAAUCUUCUUUGGUUAUUUCUGGUGAUGAAAGACAUGACAGCAUAGGCCAUUGUGCAAAAUAUUGUAGUUACACAAUUUUUUCAUGGCACCUCAAAUGAAAUAAUUGAUUUUAGUUUGAUACAGCGAAAUGAAGUAGGAAGCAGCUGCCAUGGAAUUUGAAGGAUUCCAGAGUUGUAUGAAUUUUCUCCUGGGCGAAGAGUUGCACGAGGUUUUUACUAAGUUGGCAAAGGAAACAGAUGGAGAGGAAUUAAUCAUCUCUAUUGGUGUGCCACCUCCACACAUUCUGGAAAUGGUAGAAUCAUGUUUGCAAAAUUCAAAUCAUUCCUGAGUUAUAUAGUUGACAAGCAUGAUGGAUUGGAUGAUCCACUAUAUAACAGUGUGCUCAUGGUGAACUGACACCAAGAAAGUGGAUGCUACCUGACUCUCCAGCAUACAACAAGCUAAGUGGUGCAGUGCUGAAAACUUCAUUUGUGAACGGAAUUAAACAAGCCUCACCAUUGAACCAAACAAGUUGUUUAGAGGGUUUGCAGGUAUGUUUCACUAAAUGGUCUAUAAUCAGUAAUAGUGAGUGUUG
Molecule: long non-coding RNA, 2280 nt
Organism: Dendronephthya gigantea
Lineage: Eukaryota; Metazoa; Cnidaria; Anthozoa; Malacalcyonacea; Nephtheidae
Exons: 6
Source: RefSeq, a predicted model, not a curated record